GUCGAGUGCGCGUGCCGUAGCAAUACGGUAUGGCGCACGGCGCACGGGUGCGUAACACGUGGGCAAUCUGCCCUCCGGUGGGGAAUAACCCCGCGAAAGCGGGGCUAAUUCCGCAUAACAUUCCCUGGACUCUGGUUCGGGGAUUCAAAGCAGCAAUGCGCCGGAGGAGGAGCCCGCGCCCGAUUAGCUAGUUGGUGAGGUGACGGCUCACCAAGGCAAUGAUCGGUAGCUGGUCUGAGAGGAUGGCCAGCCACACUGGAACUGAGACACGGUCCAGACUCCUACGGGAGGCAGCAGUGGGGAAUCUUGCGCAAUGGGCGAAAGCCUGACGCAGCGACGCCGCGUGGGGGAUGAAGCUUCUCGGAGUGUAAACCCCUUUCGACCGGGACGAAUGCCCGCAAGGGAGUGACGGUACCGGUAGAAGAAGCCCCGGCUAACUACGUGCCAGCAGCCGCGGUAAGACGUAGGGGGCCAGCGUUGUUCGGAAUUACUGGGUGUAAAGGGUUCGUAGGCGGUGUGGCAAGUCGGGAGUGAAAUUUCUGGGCUUAACCCAGAAGCUGCUUCCGAAACUGCUGUGCUAGAGUGCGGGAGAGGCGCGUGGAAUUGCAGGUGUAGCGGUGAAAUGCGUAGAUAUCUGCAGGAACACCCGUGGCGAAAGCGGCGCGCUGGACCGUUACUGACGCUGAGGAACGA
Molecule: ribosomal RNA, 693 nt
Filed under: uncultured delta proteobacterium
Lineage: Bacteria; Deltaproteobacteria
Description: bacterial SSU rRNA
Rfam family: Bacterial small subunit ribosomal RNA
Source: RNAcentral